UGUUUAAGGGGGAGGGGCGAGGCAAACUCCUAGGGGUCUGCGUACUGGGUGAGGUGAAACUUUUUGUCUGCACUCCUUGAGGAGGAGCUGAGAGAAAUGUCUUUGUGAGCCGCUCGUUUUUUAAAAAAAGUGUUUUUCUCUCUCUGAAACAUUUUUUAAAGUUGAGGUUUUUCACUUGAUUUGAAAAACUGGACUGGAAUAGGUGGGGUGCUAGGAGCAGGGGCGGAGGCAAGGAUUUAAAGAAGCCGUACCAGCGAGAGCGCCUUAGGCCCCCAGGAGAAGAGUGAUCCAGGGCCGAGUGGCUUGGGUCUGCCGCAAUUCUGGGGCUUGUGUGUCUCCGGAUCUCGCCGCCGCGACUCCGGAGAAAUCCCGUGCUGGGCAAACAGCCCCUAAUAUAAUAAUAGCUUGUCUCUUUAAAAAGCAAAAGGGGGGGGGGAAAGUUUUGUUGGCAUCUGGUUUCUGAUCUCAUUAUGUUGUGGUCGACCAAUCCAGCCCUCGGGGCUGGUCCUGGGGUUUAAAUCUGAUUGGCCGAGAGCACAUUUUGGGAUGGUGCUUAGAGCUCGACGGGGCGGUUUCAAGGAUCCCUUUUUUGGGGGGCUGAGAGGAGGGCGGGGCCGCCGGCGGGGGCCCCCUUGAAACCGACUAAUUGGGAUCGGAGAGGCCGAGGUUGCUUUUAAAGAGAACUCUGUUCGAUGCCCCCAGCAGGUUUGUAAUUAAAACUGUAAAUAGUCUUGUAAAUUUAAUUAUAUAUUUUCUAUUUAAAAGAAAAACGGAAAAAAAAGGGGGGAGCGCCAAGGGGCCCCGAGGCUGAGGAAUGAAGGGAGGGGGCUUUGGGGGGCGUCCUCUCCUUUCUUCAGUGCCCUUUUCAAACACCAUCCCCUACUUUGGUUCGAAUAUUUUGGUGUUUUGGCAGGGCUGGGCCUGCUGGAAGAGGUGUUUCUGGGACGAGGUGGAUGGAGGAGGGGGUUAGAUUCAACUCCCAGAGCCAAAUCUGUGAGCCUUCUCGCUGGGCCUGUGGAAGUCGCUGGGUGUUUCCGAACAAGACUUGGGUUCCUCUUGUUUUAUUCCCUUUCUCUCCCCACAUGACCUGUCUCCUUCACUCGAUCUUUGGAGCAUUCCCCAAAGAGAUCGGGCUAACCCCGCGAGUGGGAUGGGGGGACAGGGCGAGAUGGGGUGCGGAAUGGCCGCCUCCCCCCGCAGGCUGGAAGAUCAUUCUUCUCUUUGACUUUUCUUUUCAGCUUGCUGCCCCAAGCGCUUGGAGUGGGCAGAAAGUGCUUUGUAGUGCUUUGUGAAAUGUGUUCCGAAACAAAACCGCCCCCCACCCCACCUCCGCCACUACCUUGAGUACCAAUCCUGACUGUCUCCAUUUUUAGGGAGAGCCUUAGCUCACAAAUGUUGGGGUUCUGAGAUGCCCUUGUGUCUUUCCCCUUCCCUUGUAGUUGGCUCCCUGCCACUUCCCAACCGAAUAUCUUCUCUGGCAUUCAGUUAAGAAGUUUGCAGGUUGGUUUGUGCUUUAUGUGUGGGUUUUUGUUGUCCCCCCCCCCCCCCCCCCGCGCGCAAAAAAAAAGCAAUAAAAAUGGGUUGAGUUGAAGGGAGGGGACGGAUAGGCUGGUGGGAUUUUUAGUUUAACUUUGACAAAAGACUUCUUUUCAAACUUGUCCAGAAAGGGAAACGAAAAAAAAGUGGGUAUCUUUGCUUUAGAAGAAGGCUCUAGGCAGUCUCUUUGUGACUGUGGGGGUGGGGUUGGGUGUUUACAGGACAUUCUAUAUCUCAAGAUUGAUAGAAUGUUUACAACAGAUGUUUCUUAUCUUCUCCCUAAAACCCCAAAAUAAAAGGCAAGACUUUUCUUAAAGUGUCUUUCCCGCUGGUAUGAGAAUUGAUUGCAAUUUCCAAUACACAUCAUUUCCCUCAACUAUUUGGAAUAUUUUAGAAUUUUAACUCCAAAUGAUUGAUUUGAAGACCAAGGGGUGGGGUGGAACCAGUAUGGCACAGAACCCAAUUUUUCACCAUCUCCUGUUUCUUGAUAAUAGUGCAAAUUAAAAGCUAAUAAUCAUAAUAAAGCACAUUUAAUUAUCUUCUAGAGAUCUAGCCCUUUAAUUGUAUUUAACAGGGUUGUAACAUUUUAUUAGUUUAACCAAACCACACACCCCCUUUCCCUCUCCCCGGACCUACUUGGUUGGGGGUUGGGGUGGAGAAGAGGUUCCCUGCCCCAGACCUUGCUUUUUUUUUAGCUAAAAUAUGGGGGAAAGGGUGCCUUACCACCCUUUGUUGGCAUUCUUUGGGAUAAGGGAGAAAGUAAGUUAGAACCCCUACUUCCAUUUGUUUGUGUGUGUUAGUUUAUGUUGGGGGAGGGGACCUGGAAAUGUUUGGUGGUAAUUGAAGUCGUAUGUGGGGCUUUGUUUGGAAUUGUAUGAAGCCUGGGGAUUUCAGCAGAGCCCCCUUCUCAAAAUAUGUAACCUUCCACCAAAUGAUUUGUGUGGGGGAGGAGGGGUCAACGUUAUAAGUUAAAACUAGCUUUUUCUCAACUGAGGGCGUGUACCAAGUCCUAAUAUGAGAUGAUAUCAACUAUCAAAGCAGCAGGCAGGGGAGCCACUCCCCUGUAGCUCCAUUUGUUGCAAAAUUCUAAAGGAACCCCACAAGGCCUGGAGGAAAGAGUUAAAUUACAAAUUGAGCAGGGAUGGCCAGUGAUUUUGAACUUCCUGGUAAAGAACUCUGGGGCAGGACUUUGGGUCUCCCUGACCUGAGACAUGGCUACAGAUGGAAGAAGCGUUGGCUCUACACCAGCCCAUCCAUCAGCUGAAUAUCAUUAGGUGUCCUCAGCGAUGCCUGUGGAACAGAAGAACCACCCAACCAAGCCUUACCCAAAUUCCUGACCCAUAAAUUGUGGGAUAUAAUAAA
This is a long non-coding RNA of Mustela erminea (ermine), 2898 nucleotides long. RefSeq lists it as uncharacterized. NCBI's taxonomy places the organism in Eukaryota, Metazoa, Chordata, Mammalia, Carnivora, Mustelidae. The record is from RefSeq and is a predicted model, not a curated record. The transcript has 4 exons.